RNAcentral lists this long non-coding RNA (667 nucleotides) under Homo sapiens (human). RNAcentral describes it as "non-protein coding LINC00472:13". The record is from RNAcentral. Lineage: Eukaryota; Metazoa; Chordata; Mammalia; Primates; Hominidae.
CGGCCGCAGAUCCCGGCAACUUGCGAACCGGGAAAAGUUUGCGGCGCCUCCGCGGGGCGGCGCGACGCGGCCCGCCCCUCGCGUCCGCGGUCAUCGCGGGUGACUUUCUCGACUCGUCGUCAGCCGGGGCCGCAGCGCGGCCGGUGGGGACUGCGGGGCGGGCCGGAGUCCGUCCGAGGGCUCCCGCACCUCGGGCUGCGGGAACAUUAAAAUCUCCCCAGAUGCUCACUGCUCUGAUCAUUUCCCCUACAGCACCAGACAUGUUGGCAUCAUCUCUUAGUUGGGCCAUGUGGCCAGGGAACCCUUCAUGAAACCACCUCUGCAGUCCUGGAGAGUUGCUGUAGAAGAAGGAAAAGAGAGGAAGACAACACAACACAGGAGGGGAUAAGUACCUCUGGACACAAUGGAAGUAGUAGUUGUUGAGCAGAGGGAAAGGGAUAGGAGAAGGAUGUGGACUGCAGUGCUGCAGUGCCAGGAAGUUCGAGGACCUUCAGAAAUCAAUCCAUGGGCUCCACAAGCACUGUAUCAAGAGGCAUUCGAGACCAGUCUGGGCUAGAGGUGGACAUGAGAGAAAGAUCCCAUAGCCCUCUUGGUCUUGGUUGGAACAGGAGGAAAAUGAAAACUGGACAUCCAUCUUAGGACUUAAUCCUACGGAGACCACAAGCUG